UCGAGUGCGGCCCCCCCGUAAAAAAGGGGGGCACCUCCCGUCCUUUGCUAGGGUCCCUCUUUUUUUGGGGGCUUUUUCAAAAACCUUCUGCUUCGGCGGGGUUACCCCUGCCGGAACACCCUCAAAAAUUCUUUUAAUUGUUCUGUCCGAGAACUUUUUAAAAUUGACAUAA
RNAcentral lists this unclassified non-coding RNA (172 nucleotides) under uncultured fungus. Its description in RNAcentral is "sequence contains ITS1". The record is from RNAcentral. Lineage: Eukaryota; Fungi.